GAUCAUGGCUCAGGAUGAGCGCUGGCGGUAUGCCUAACACAUGCAAGUCGUACGCCUCACUUCGGUGAGGAGUGGCGGACGGGUGAGUAACACGUUAGUACCUGCCCCAAAGUGGGAAUAACUGCCCGAAAGGGUAGCUAAUACCCCCAUAGUCUCCGGUUUAUCCGGAGUAAAGAUUUAUCGCUUUGGGAGGGGCUUGCGUUUGAUUAGCUAGUUGGUGAGGGUAAUGGCCCACCAAGGCGACGAUCAAUAGCUGGAUCGAGAGGUUGACCAGCCACACUGGGACUGAGAUACGGCCCAGACUCCUACGGGAGGCAGCAGUGGGGAAUUUUCCGCAAUGGGCGAAAGCCUGAACCAGCCAUCCCGCGUGAAGGACGACUGCCCUAUGGGUUGUAAACUUCUUUUGUAUAGGGAUAAACCUACCCUCGUGAGGGUAGCUGAAGGUACUAUACGAAUAAGCACCGGCUAACUCCGUG
This 476-nucleotide ribosomal RNA is filed under the name uncultured bacterium. RNAcentral's name for it is "bacterial SSU rRNA". It matches the Rfam family "Bacterial small subunit ribosomal RNA", at positions 15 to 507 of the family's 1533-position model. The record is from RNAcentral.